RNAcentral lists this ribosomal RNA (723 nucleotides) under fungal sp. I15F-00374. RNAcentral describes it as "LSU rRNA". It matches the Rfam family "Eukaryotic large subunit ribosomal RNA", at positions 694 to 1424 of the family's 3401-position model. The record is from RNAcentral. Lineage: Eukaryota; Fungi.
UCGAGUGUCAACCCCUACGCGUAAUGAAAGUGAACGUAGGAGAGAGCUUCGGCGCAUCUCCGACCGAUCCUGAUGUUCUCGGAUGGAUUUGAGUAAGAGCAUACGGGGCCGGACCCGAAAGAAGGUGAACUAUGCCUGUGUAGGGUGAAGCCAGAGGAAACUCUGGUGGAGGCUCGCAGCGGUUCUGACGUGCAAAUCGAUCGUCAAACAUGGGCAUGGGGGCGAAAGACUAAUCGAACCUUCUAGUAGCUGGUUUCCGCCGAAGUUUCCCUCAGGAUAGCAGUGUUGAACUCAGUUUUAUGAGGUAAAGCGAAUGAUUAGGGAACCGGGGGCGCUAUUAUUGCCUUCAUCCAUUCUCAAACUUUAAAUAUGUAAGAAGCCCUUGUUACUUUAUUGAACGUGGGCAUUCGAAUGUAUCAACACUAGUGGGCCAUUUUUGGUAAGCAGAACUGGCGAUGCGGGAUGAACCGAACGCGAGGUUAAGGUGCCAGAGUAGACGCUCAUCAGACACCACAAAAGGCGUUAGUACAUCUUGACAGCAGGACGGUGGCCAUGGAAGUCGGAAUCCGCUAAGGACUGUGUAACAACUCACCUGCCGAAUGUACUAGCCCUGAAAAUGGAUGGCGCUCAAGCGUCUCACCCAUACCUCGCCCUCAGGGUAGAAACGAUGCCCUGAGGAGUAGGCGGACGUAGAGGUCGUGACGAAGCCUAGGGCGUGAGCCC